AGAGUUUGAUUAUGGCUCAGGAUGAACGCUAGCGACAGGCNUAACACAUGCAAGUCGAGGGGCAUCGGGGCGAGGAGCAAUCCUUGCCGCCGGCGACCGGCGCACGGGUGAGUAACGCGUAUGCGACCUGCCCGUUGCAGGGGGAUAAUCGGGAGAAAUCCCGUCUAAUACCGCGUAAUGCCGCGGGGCUGCAUGGCCCUGCGGCCAAAGGAAGCGAUUCCGGCAACGGAUGGGCAUGCGUGACAUUAGCUAGUUGGCGGGGCAACGGCCCACCAAGGCGACGAUGUCUAGGGGUUCUGAGAGGAAGGUCCCCCACACUGGUACUGAAACACGGACCAGACUCCUACGGGAGGCAGCAGUGAGGAAUAUUGGUCAACGGGCGCGAGCCUGAACCAGCCAAGUCGCGUGAGGGAUGACGGCCCUACGGGUUGUAAACCUCUUUUGUCGGGGAGCAAAUUCCGCCACGUGUGGCGGAGUCGAGAGUACCCGAAGAAAAAGCAUCGGCUAACUCCGUGCCAGCAGCCGCGGUAAUACGGAGGAUGCGAGCGUUAUCCGGAUUUAUUGGGUUUAAAGGGUGCGUAGGCGGACUGUCAAGUCAGCGGUAAAAUACGGGGGCUCAACCUCCGCCCGCCGUUGAAACUGACGGUCUUGAGUGGGCGAGAAGUAUGCGGAAUGCGUGGUGUAGCGGUGAAAUGCAUAGAUAUCACGCAGAACUCCGAUUGCGAAGGCAGCAUACCGGCGCCCAACUGACGCUGAAGCACGAAAGCGUGGGUAUCGAACAGGAUUAGAUACCCUGGUAGUCCACGCAGUAAACGAUGAAUACUAGCUGUCCGGGGCGAAUGAGCCCUGGGUGGCACAGCGAAAGCGUUAAGUAUUCCACCUGGGGAGUACGCCGGCAACGGUGAAACUCAAAGGAAUUGACGGGGGCCCGCACAAGCGGAGGAACAUGUGGUUUAAUUCGAUGAUACGCGAGGAACCUUACCCGGGCUCAAACGACACAGGAACGUACCUGAAAGGGUUCGGCUCUACGGAGCCUGUGUCGAGGUGCUGCAUGGUUGUCGUCAGCUCGUGCCGUGAGGUGUCGGCUUAAGUGCCAUAACGAGCGCAACCCCCAUCGACAGUUGCUAACAGGUCAGGCUGAGGACUCUGUCGAGACUGCCGGCGCAAGCUGCGAGGAAGGCGGGGAUGACGUCAAAUCAGCACGGCCCUUACGUCCGGGGCGACACACGUGUUACAAUGGCAGGUACAGCGGGAAGCCACCUGGCGACGGGGAGCGGAACCCGAAAGCCUGUCUCAGUUCGGAUUGGAGUCUGCAACCCGACUCCAUGAAGCUGGAUUCGCUAGUAAUCGCGCAUCAGCCACGGCGCGGUGAAUACGUUCCCGGGCCUUGUACACACCGCCCGUCAAGCCAUGGAAGCCGGGGGUGCCUGAAGUGCGCUGCCGCGAGGAGCGCCCUAGGGUAAAACCGGUGACUGGGGCUAAGUCGUAACAAGGUAGC
This 1498-nucleotide ribosomal RNA is filed under the name uncultured bacterium. Its description in RNAcentral is "16S ribosomal RNA". It matches the Rfam family "Bacterial small subunit ribosomal RNA". The record is from RNAcentral.